Molecule: long non-coding RNA, 759 nt
Filed under: Homo sapiens (human)
Lineage: Eukaryota; Metazoa; Chordata; Mammalia; Primates; Hominidae
Description: TMEM123 divergent transcript (TMEM123-DT)
Source: RNAcentral
CAGAAACCGCGAGCCGUUUCCUUUCUCUUCGGAAAUGGCAGUUUUGUUGUCCUGGAUGAAGGCGAGCGCCGCUGCCUCCCUGAAUGCUGAGCACGCUGGCUUCGCGGUGCCCGGAAGGAAGCCUUUGAAGACCCUGACUCCAGUGUCUCCAGCUGAGAGGCUGAGCUUGCCAGCUCCAUUUCUGACUGCUCAUGGAGCAGAAUCAGUGACCAAGGAGAAAAGGGCUGAGUGAAGAAACAAGUGUGAGUGCCAAGAUGAUGCCAAGGGCUGUGAUUUCCUGGUGGGAAGAAAGAAGGAAUAGAAGCCAAAGGAAGGGGGAUGAAAAGCAAAACCAAGAAUCACAAGGAAUCAAGUUCGGAGAGAAUUUUGGCAGAGAUUUUGAGAGGGGGGCUUUAAGUCAGCCAUGGACAUACUGAAGCAAGAGGAAUGAAGGGAAAAAAGAAAAGGGGGGAAAAAAAGAAGAAGAAUGGGGCCAAGGAGGAUUUAAGACUACCAUUAUAGGUUACAAGUUGAAUUCUUUUUAAUAUUCUUCAAGCAAUGACAGUAAAGAUUCAAAUAACUUUUAAAUUACCUUUGAUUUCUAAACCAAGUUUCUUGGAAUGUGAAAGUCGCCAAGACUGGGCCCUGCAGGGCCUGGGUUGGGCUACUACUGCCUAUGGAGAUUCUGAGGGUAUUAACCUUAAUAAUGGCAUGAAAUCAAUAAAAAUCAUCCAAAAGCUUUUAAAAAAAAAAAAAAAAAAAAAAAAAAAAAAAAAAAAA